This 44-nucleotide non-coding RNA is filed under the name Scyphosphaera apsteinii. The record is from RNAcentral. Lineage: Eukaryota; Haptophyta; Coccosphaerales; Pontosphaeraceae.
CCUUGGGCUCUCCUCUUCAAAUGAUGAUGACCGCUCAAAGCAGU